CGAAAACGAAUUCUCUCUUGAGUGGAUCCUGAGUACGACGGAGCACGUGAAAUUCCGUCGGAAUCUGGGAGGACCAUCUCCUAAGGCUAAAUACUCUCUAGUGACCGAUAGUGAACCAGUACCGUGAGGGAAAGGUGAAAAGUACCCCGGAAGGGGAGUGAAAGAGAACUUGAAACCGUGUGCUUACAAGUAGUCAGAGCCCGUUAAUGGGUGAUGGCGUGCCUUUUGUAGAAUGAACCGGCGAGUUACGAUCUGAUGCAAGGUUAAGCAGAAAAUGUGGAGCCGUAGCGAAAGCGAGUCUGAAUAGGGCGAAUGAGUAUUUGGUCGUAGACCCGAAACCAGGUGAUCUACCCUUGGUCAGGUUGAAGUUCAGGUAACACUGAAUGGAGGACCGAACCGACUUACGUUGAAAAGUGAGCGGAUGAACUGAGGGUAGCGGAGAAAUUCCAAUCGAACUUGGAGAUAGCUGGUUCUCUCCGAAAUAGCUUUAGGGCUAGCCUCAAGUGAUGAUUAUUGGAGGUAGAGCACUGUUUGGACGAGGGGCCCCUCUCGGGUUACCGAAUUCAGACAAACUCCGAAUGCCAAAUAAUUUAACUUGGGAGUCAGAAUGUGGGUGAUAAGGUCCAUAUUCGAAAGGGAAACAGCCCAGACCACCAGCUAAGGUCCCAAAAUAUAUGUUAAGUGGAAAAGGAUGUGGCGUUGCCCAGACAACUAGGAUGUUGGCUUAGAAGCAGCCAUCAUUUAAAGAGUGCGUAAUAGCUCACUAGUCGAGUGACACUGCGCCGAAAAUGUACCGGGGCUAAACAUAUUACCGAAGCUGUGGAUUGUCCUUUGGACAAUGGUAGGAGAGCGUUCUAAGGGCGUUGAAGCAUGAUCGCAAGGACAUGUGGAGCGCUUAGAAGUGAGAAUGCCGGUGUGAGUAGCGAAAGACGGGUGAGAAUCCCGUCCACCGAUUGACUAAGGUUUCCAGAGGAAGGCUCGUCCGCUCUGGGUUAGUCGGGUCCUAAGCUGAGGCCGACAGGCGUAGGCGAUGGAUAACAGGUUGAUAUUCCUGUACCACCAUUAUUCGUUUUAAGCGAUGGGGGGACGCAGUAGGAUAGGCGAAGCGUGCUGUUGGAGUGCACGUCCAAGCAGUGAGAUUG
RNAcentral lists this ribosomal RNA (1142 nucleotides) under Staphylococcus pseudintermedius. Its description in RNAcentral is "partial 23S ribosomal RNA". It matches the Rfam family "Bacterial large subunit ribosomal RNA", at positions 380 to 1527 of the family's 2925-position model. Lineage: Bacteria; Bacillati; Bacillota; Bacilli; Caryophanales; Staphylococcaceae. The record is from RNAcentral.